RNAcentral lists this long non-coding RNA (1734 nucleotides) under Homo sapiens (human). RNAcentral's name for it is "SIN3-HDAC complex associated factor (ENSG00000276371.2)". The record is from RNAcentral. Lineage: Eukaryota; Metazoa; Chordata; Mammalia; Primates; Hominidae.
CUAGACAAGGCAGUUGAGGAGGAGGGAGCGCUUGAGGGGGACUGGCCUGGCGUGCACUCCGCACCUCGGGGACAUUAUUGCGCGUGGAACGGCUGCUUUUGGAAGGCACAACUUCCUGAAUGGACCAUGACUCCCACCAAAGAUCCCUGUCUCUGAUUCACCAAACAGCUUCAACCCUGAAACCAGGACGAGAAGUUGACAACAUCUGAGUGGACAGCUAAUUGACCUAAGACUUCAGACCAGGCCUGUAUGAUCUCCUGUCUAAACAUUCUUAGAGUAUUAUAUUUACUUUGGGGACUAUUGGCCUUGUCUGCUUUGACUCAGAUUAUAGGAUAUAUAACCUGGUUAAUGUUUCUGUACACAUGAUGGCCACCUAUGUAUAUACACUUGACUUUUCAGGGUCUCUGCUGGGGAUGGAAAAAUAGUUCAUUAGCCAAACUCUCCUAAAGUGUGGCAGAUGGAGGCAGUCUCUCAGAUUGCUGGAUUUGUCACCAGCUUCCAAGGGCCAUUCAAGAUCAUUACAUGCUACUUGUUGCACCAGAGAUUGAUUUUUCUGACACUCCAAAUGUUACCAUAUACUUACAUCAGUUCCCUCCAAAUGUCACUUUCCAAAUUCAAAUUCAGCUUCUAAAGCCAGGCCAUAUUUUCAUUCUGUGCUUAGUAAUAAGCCCUAAGUCUCACCCUUCCCCACCGCCCCCAGGUCUAUCUAUCAGUAAGCCAAUUAGGGACAAAUUCUCUAACUUAUCUAGAACACAAACUUAAUUCCUCAUCUUUUCCAGGUCCCUGCACAUUCCUGGCCUCCCACCGUUACUGUCAUAACUGGCAACUGAAUGUCCAAAGGAGAAAAAGCAAAGCAGAUUGUGCCAGCACGUCUCAUUUGUUAUAUAUCAUGCUUAUGCAGGCCUUUGUAAGGCCUGCAGUAAAACCAAUCCAUGGCUCACUCAUGUUUUAAACAACUUACCUAUUCAAACUAUUAUGAAUGAAUAGUUAAGAGAUACAUUUUGGUAUGUGGCAUUGGGCCACACCCACCAACUCAAGGAUGGGCACAUAGUGUAAAUAGCUGGCAAAAUAGCUGGCAAAUUGAAGGGCGCUUUUUUUUUUUUUUUUUUGAGGGAGAGUCUUGCUCUUUCGCCUAGGUUGUAGUGUGGUGGUGUGAUCAUGGCUCACUACAGCCUUGACCUCCCUGGGCUCAGGUGAUCCUCCUACCUCAGCCUCCCGAGUAGCUGGGACAAGGAGUCUGUGCAGUAGCUCACAGUGCCUGUUGCACUUACAUCGACACCUCGGGUGAAGUAGAGACUUGCACAGAAAGAAUUUCCAAGCAAGCUAAAUGGUUACAAGAGGCACAAACUACUGAUCUUCUCAAUGAUCUAUUUAAUUGGCUUCCUAUUUCUUCCAGUCUGCAGUUCAACCCCUUUUUCAUGGGUAAAGUGCCGACGUCAUAACAAGGUUUGAGGGAGGCACAUCUCACACGUGUGAAUGCCCAGUCAUCACACUUACAAAUGACAAAAGGAUCUCAAACCUUGAUAUAGUCUCUAUCCUACUUCUCUUACUAUCACUUAAAUUACUCAUGGUAUUUAUAACCAACUUACGUAAGUCUAUUGCUAAAACCAGAAUUAUAGGUCAGGUGCAGUGGCUCACACUCAAUCCUAGCACUUGGGAGGCCAAGGUGGGAAGACUGCUUGAGGCUAGGAGUUUGAGACCAGUGUGGGCAAUGCAGUGAAACCCUAUCUUGAU